RNAcentral lists this ribosomal RNA (460 nucleotides) under uncultured bacterium. Its description in RNAcentral is "partial 16S ribosomal RNA". It matches the Rfam family "Bacterial small subunit ribosomal RNA", at positions 338 to 795 of the family's 1533-position model. The record is from RNAcentral.
CCUACGGUAGGCAGCAGUGAGGAAUAUUGGUCAAUGGGCGCGAGCCUGAACCAGCCAAGUAGCGUGAAGGAUGACUGCCCUACGGGUUGUAAACUUCUUUUAUAAGGGAAUAAAGUGAAGCAUGUAUACCGUUUUGUAUGUACUUUAUGAAUAAGGAUCGGCUAACUCCGUGCCAGCAGCCGCGGUAAUACGGAGGAUCCGAGCGUUAUCCGGAUUUAUUGGGUUUAAAGGGAGCGUAGGUGGGUUGUUAAGUCAGUUGUGAAAGUUUGCGGCUCAACCGUAAAAUUGCAAUUGAUACUGGCAGUCUUGAGUACAGUAGAGGUAGGCGGAAUUCGUGGUGUAGCGGUGAAAUGCUUAGAUAUCACGAAGAACUCCGAUUGCGAAGGCAGCUUACUAAACUGCCACUGACAUUGAUGCUCGAAAGUGUGGGUAUCAAACAGGAUUAGAUACCCGGGUAGUC